GCCCGGCUGGCUCAGUAGGUAGAGCACGCGACUCUUGGUCAUGAGUUCAGAGUUCAAACCCCAUGUUGGGCA
Molecule: transfer RNA, 72 nt
Filed under: Ailuropoda melanoleuca (giant panda)
Lineage: Eukaryota; Metazoa; Chordata; Mammalia; Carnivora; Ursidae
Rfam family: tRNA
About the family: Transfer RNA (tRNA) molecules are approximately 80 nucleotides in length.
Source: Rfam by way of RNAcentral